CUGAAACACUAGAUUGAAUUCAUUAGUAUAACAUAAGAUAUACUCAAAUGCUUUGAGCUCAUCAAAAUCAAAUAGGGUUAUAAUCAAUCACUCCACAAUCUCCUCCUUUUUGAUGAUGACAAAACAUUGAGUAUUUGUAAAGUGAAUUGCUCAACCAAAAAGUAGAUUUAUAGUAAAGUUCUAAAAUGAAUUUAAGUGUCUAGUCAUUUAAUUUAUCCAAAACUGAAAGGUGUGAAACAGUAAAUUUUGAAGUUAAAGCUCCCCCUUUC
Molecule: long non-coding RNA, 269 nt
Filed under: Phoenix dactylifera (date palm)
Lineage: Eukaryota; Viridiplantae; Streptophyta; Magnoliopsida; Arecales; Arecaceae
Description: long non-coding RNA (PDAC_LNC011070)
Source: RNAcentral